RNAcentral lists this ribosomal RNA (253 nucleotides) under uncultured bacterium. RNAcentral's name for it is "partial 16S ribosomal RNA". It matches the Rfam family "Bacterial small subunit ribosomal RNA", at positions 524 to 776 of the family's 1533-position model. The record is from RNAcentral.
UACGUAGGGUGCGAGCGUUAAUCCGAAUUACUGGGCGUAAAGCGUGCGCAGGCGGCGCGUUAAGACAGGUGUGAAAGCCCCGAGCUUAACUUGGGAAUUGCGCUUGUGACUGGCGUGCUGGAGUGUGGCAGAGGGAGGUGGAAUUCCACGUGUAGCAGUGAAAUGCGUAGAGAUGUGGAGGAACACCGAUGGCGAAGGCAGCCUCCUGGGCCAGCACUGACGCUCAUGCACGAAAGCGUGGGGAGCAAACAGG